RNAcentral lists this transfer RNA (17 nucleotides) under Thoradonta obtusilobata. Its description in RNAcentral is "partial tRNA-Met". Lineage: Eukaryota; Metazoa; Arthropoda; Insecta; Orthoptera; Tetrigidae. The record is from RNAcentral.
UAAAUCCUUCUCUUUUA